RNAcentral lists this ribosomal RNA (975 nucleotides) under Triticum aestivum (bread wheat). RNAcentral describes it as "partial small subunit ribosomal RNA". The record is from RNAcentral. Lineage: Eukaryota; Viridiplantae; Streptophyta; Magnoliopsida; Poales; Poaceae.
AUGGCGCUCGCUCUCUCCGUCUUCUUGCUCGGAACCAGGACCUACCGCUUCUACCCACCGGAAAAGAACGGCGUCCUGCUCACGCAGCUCGGUGAACUGCUCGUCGCGAGGGCUAAAUCCUGGCACUCGUCAUGGUGUUCCAGUUCCAUAUUACCCGAUGACGACUCACUCCCCUUGCUGGCUGAUGCUCCGUCGGCGUCCAAGGAGAACACCAAAGAUUUUCCUCACGAAGCCGCAUCGCUGCUCAGACUGUUCCCGAUAUGGUCGACCUGCCUGAUGUACGCCGUCGUCCUGUCGCAGUGGUCGACCCUGUUCACCAAGCAGGCGAGCACGCUGGACAGGAGGAUCGGCACCCUGCUCGUACCGGCCGCCGCCAUGCAAAACCUGAGCCACGCCGCAGUCCUCAUCUUCCUCCCGAUCUACGACCGGAUCCUCGUCCCGCUCGCUACAAAACGCACAGAGAACCCUCGUGGCAUCACCGUCCUGCAGAGGAUCGGCGUCGGGCUGGCGAUCUCGAUCGUCGCGAUGGUCGUCGCCGCGCUCGUGGAGACCAAGAGGCUCAGGAUCGCAGCCGACCAUGGCCUGCUGGACGAGCCUCAAGUUCCCAUCCCCAUGAGCUUGCUGUGGGUGGUUCCCCAGUUCCUGCUGGCCGGGCUGUCCGGCGUGUUCGCGUUCGUCGGCCUGCAGGAGUUCUUCUACGACCAGGUGCCGGGCUCCCUCCGCAGCCUGGGCAUCGCUCUGUGCAUGAGCAUAGCCGGGGUUGGCUGCUUCAUCAGCAGCUUUCUCGUGUACGCCAUUGACAGGGUGACCAGCAGCGCCGGGGAGAGCUGGUUCUCCAACAACCUCAACCGGGCGCACCUCGAUUACUUCUUCUGGCUCCUGGCUGCGCUCAGUGCCUUGGGCUUCUCUGCUUACCUGCAUUUUGCACGGGUUUAUGUCGUCAAGAAAAGGAACGAUUCAGCUUCAGUACAGUGA